RNAcentral lists this ribosomal RNA (475 nucleotides) under uncultured bacterium. Its description in RNAcentral is "bacterial SSU rRNA". It matches the Rfam family "Bacterial small subunit ribosomal RNA", at positions 915 to 1391 of the family's 1533-position model. The record is from RNAcentral.
GGGGGCCCGCAAGCGGCGGAGCAUGCGGAUUAAUUCGAUGCAACGCGAAGAACCUUACCAAGGCUUGACAUGAACCGGAAUGAUGCAGAGAUGUGUCAGCCACUUGUGGCCGGUUUACAGGUGGUGCAUGGUUGUCGUCAGCUCGUGUCGUGAGAUGUUGGGUUAAGUCCCGCAACGAGCGCAACCCUCGUUCCAUGUUGCCAGCGGGUUAUGCCGGGGACUCAUGGGAGACUGCCGGGGUCAACUCGGAGGAAGGUGGGGACGACGUCAAAUCAUCAUGCCCCUUAUGUCUUGGGCUUCACGCAUGCUACAAUGGCCGGUACAAAGGGUUGCGAUACUGUGAGGUGGAGCUAAUCCCAAAAAGCCGGUCUCAGUUCGGAUUGAGGUCUGCAACUCGACCUCAUGAAGUUGGAGUCGCUAGUAAUCGCAGAUCAGCAACGCUGCGGUGAAUACGUUCCCGGGCCUUGUACACACC